AAUAUUGGAUAAUGGGGGCAACCCUUAUCCAGCCAUGCCGCGUGUGUGAAGAAGGUCCUCCGAUUGUUAAGCACUUUAAGUUGGGAGGAAGGGCUGUAGGUUAAUACACUGAAGUUUAGACGUUACCAACAGAAUAAGCACCGGCCAACUCUGUGCCAGCAGCCGCGGUAAUACAGAGGGUGAAAGCGUUAAUCGGAAUUACUGGGCGUAAAGCGCGCGUAGGUGGUUCAGUAAGAUGGGGGAGAAAACCCCGGGCUGAACCUGGGAACUGCUUUCAUAACUGCUGAACUAGAGUACGGUAGAGGGUAGUGGAAUUUUCUGUGUAGCGGUGAAAUGCGUAGAAAUAAGAAGGAACACCAGUGGCGAAGGCGACUACCUGGACUGAUACUGACACUGAGGUGCGAAAGCGUGGGGGGCAAAC
RNAcentral lists this ribosomal RNA (421 nucleotides) under uncultured bacterium. Its description in RNAcentral is "partial 16S ribosomal RNA". It matches the Rfam family "Bacterial small subunit ribosomal RNA", at positions 360 to 773 of the family's 1533-position model. The record is from RNAcentral.